AGGAGAGCGAGUGUUGGCUGAGCGGUUCUGACCUUGUAGCUUGAGCGCCUCAAAUCAGCUGACCUUGUGUUCGUUUGUGUGCGUAUGUGUGGCUCUAUCUAGUCCAUGUAGUGAGUGCCACCACGUGCCUACAUACGCUUAGGGAACAAAACAUCUCUGAGAAUCCUGUCAUUGGUCUGCCUUCUGGUGAAUGCAAGAUGUUGAGACUGGGACUGGCUGUGCGGGGAGCAUUCAGGCAUGUGGCCGGUGGAGCCUCAGUAAGGCAGGCCAGUACCUCAGGUGACAGCCUUCAGCAAACAGUUCUCUACAACUUCCAUGUUAAUCAUGGUGGCAAGAUGGUGGGAUUUGCUGGAUACUCUAUGCCAGUCCAGUAUGGAUCAGUAGGCAUUGGAGCAUCCCACAAGGCUGUGCGGAGCGGCUGUGGGCUUUUUGAUGUGUCACACAUGCUGCAAUGGCGCCUAUGGGGAGCUGACCGGGUGAAGUUCAUUGAGAGACUUGUGGUAGCUGACGUGGAAGGGCUGCCUGAGAACACAGGAACCCUUUCUCUGCUGACCAAUCCAGAGGGAGGCAUAGUGGAUGAUCUCAUUGUCUCUCGCACCAGCCAGAGUCACCUGUAUGUGGUGAGCAAUGCUGGAUGCCGGGACAAGGACCUGGCACACUUGAGGAGCCAUCUGGCACAGUUCAAAGCUGAGGGAGGAGAUGUUCACAUGGAGAUCAUUACAGACCAUGGACUUGUGGCACUCCAAGGACCCUUGGCUGCAUCCAUACUUGAGCCGAUGGUGGAGGGCACUGUGGAAGAUCUGUAUUUCAUGCAUACACGCCCCAUGAUUGUUGCUGGCACCCCGUGCAGGGUGACUCGCUGUGGCUACACUGGGGAGGAUGGCUUUGAGAUAUCUGUGCCUUUAGGCAAGGUAGAAGAAUUGUGCGAGACCCUGCUGGGAUCUGGUGCUGAGCCAGCUGGCCUCGGGGCACGGGACUCUCUCAGACUGGAGGCUGGUCUCUGCCUGUAUGGAAAUGAUAUUGAUGACACUACCACCCCAGUUGAAGCAGGUCUGGCCUGGACCAUUGGCAAACGGCGUAGACAGACAGCAGACUUCAUUGGUGCUGAGAUCAUCCUACGGCAGCUUAAGGAGAAGCCAGCGCGGCGGCGUGUGGGGCUGACCUGCUCGGGUCCUCCUCCUCGCUCCCACUGCCCUGUCCUUGGUCCUGACGGCUCCAAAGUGGGUGAGGUAACCAGUGGCUGCCCAUCCCCAUCUCUUGGUGUUAAUGUGGCCAUGGCCUAUGUCCCAGCAUCCCUUGCAAAGGUGGGCACUGAGCUGACUGUGGAGGUGAGGAAGAAGACCAUCCCAGCCAUUGUCACCAAGAUGCCAUUUGUUAAAUGCAAUUACUAUGUGAAGAAGUAGUGACUCUGCCUGUGUGUGUGUGGUGGCCAAGGGUGAAGGCUCGUGCUUCCUGGCCAGUAAAAAGUGUAAGGGCUGCACUAGUGCUGAAGAGAUCGGUGUUAUUUGGAGGAUGUACACCAAACAGUGUUGUGAUGCAGUAGCCUGUUGUCCACACCACUUGCUGUUUCCAUGCUACUUCUGCCACCUUCUGCUCAAAGGUAAACAAUUCAAGAAUAUUUAGCUAUUCUUUUUAUAGUAUCAUGUUUGAGGUUAGGAUUUUAUUGUCUGCUGUUUCUCCUAGCUGUCCUGGUAGGCCCAUUUAUCCACCCAAUGGAUUAGGUAACCUUUGAUACUUUGUUUUGAAUUAAGUAUUGGAAGAUUGGGUUUGUGUUGAACCUAUUUCUUAUAAAGGAUUUUGGUGGCUUAUAAGACUGUUGACAGCUCAGGGGGAUAACAAUAUGUAAUUUUAUCUGAAACUUAUUCAUUGUGUGGACUUGUGGAGAAGUGCUGUGUCUGAUAACAUGUAGUACAUUUUGAGUUUGUGACUAUCAUUUGAAUUUCAGGCUUAUGUGCUCUCUCUCUCUCUCUCUCUCUCUCUCUCUCUCUCUCUCUAAAUUGGGAUUUUUACUUUGAUCACUCCAAAGUUAUCCUUACUUCUUUCAGGUCUCUUUUUUUUUAUUUAUUUUUUUUUAUUUCAUAUCAUGAUAUGUAAACACUUGGUACUUCUGUCUCACAUUAAAAUUUUGCAAGAGGUAGAUUAAUUUGUAUGUUGAACACUACAGGUUGAAGUACACAUAUGGUUGUGAUAGCUUGUGAGGCUGUGACAGUGUAGUUGUAGUUAAUGCUCAAUUUAUCUCAAGGAAAUAUACAUGUUUGGUUUACACAAAGGAUGCUGAAAGCUAAAUAUAUGUUCCAGAAGGAACUGAGAUGAACCAGUGUCCAUUGUUUAUGUAAUGAUGCUACAACUUAAAAAUACAUAAUGUAAGAAACAAUCAAGGGACAAAGAAUGUGUUGCUUCAGUAAUUGUUUGUCUUGCAGGCUUAUGAGCCUGUGUGAUCAGCCCAGGCACUCACUGAAGACACUAUCUUGUCUCAAUUGGCAGCUUAUAUCAGACACCAAGGUUUCAGUUAAAUCAUGAUAGUUGAAGUCUGAGAGGUUGUGUCAUGAUCUGUAUUGUUCCUUGUAAGGAAGUUGUUAGAAACAAAUAUUUUGUUUGUAUUCCUGUUAUCAGAUAAUCUCAUGUAAUGGCAGAAGUAUAGAUUGUGUGUCAUUUAAUUGAAAUUUGAAUUAUUAAUAGUUAAUUAUGUAAAGGCAAUCAAGAAGGAAUAUUUCAGAGUGCUCAACAGUGAUAACAACAAAAGUUUGAUUAAGAAAGCAAUUCUGAAAUAAAAGUAAUACUACUACUAAUAAUGAUGAUCAAUAAAUCAGUUGAAUUUGCUCUGUAGCAUAUACUCUGUAAAUAUGUAACUGCAAUCACAAUAAAAUCAUAAUAAAGGAGAAAGAAAGGCUCAGUUAAGUCAAAGUAAA
RNAcentral lists this unclassified non-coding RNA (2909 nucleotides) under Portunus trituberculatus (swimming crab). RNAcentral's name for it is "aminomethyltransferase, mitochondrial-like, transcript variant X2". Lineage: Eukaryota; Metazoa; Arthropoda; Malacostraca; Decapoda; Portunidae. The record is from RNAcentral.